CAGCAGGCGCGAAAACUUCACAAUGGGAGAAAUCCCGAUGAGGGAAUUCCAAGUGCUAGCACUAUGUGUUAGCUGUUCUUUUGUCUAAAAAACAGAAGAAGUAAGGGCCGGGUAAGACGGGUGCCAGCCGCCGCGGUAAUACCCGCGGCCCGAGGGGUGGUCGAUAUUAUUGAGCCUAAAACGUCCGUAGCCGGUCUUGUAAAUCCUUGGGUAAAUCGGCCAGCUUAACUGUCCGAAGUCCGGGGAGACUGCAAGACUUGGGAUCGGGAGAGGUCAGAGAUACUUCUGGGGUAGGGGUAAAAUCCUGUAAUCCUGGAAGGACCACCGGUGGCGAAGGCGUCUGACUAGAACGAAUUCGACGGUGAGGGACGAAGCCCUGGGGCGCAAACGGGAUUAGAUACCCCGGUAGUCCAGGGUGUAAACGCUGCGGGCUUGGUGUUGGGGGUCCUUUGUGGGCGCCCAGUGCCGGAGAGAAGUUGUUAAGCCUGCUGCUUGGGGAGUACGUCCGCAAGGAUGAAACUUAAAGGAAUUGGCGGGGGAGCAC
This 544-nucleotide ribosomal RNA is filed under the name uncultured archaeon. Its description in RNAcentral is "bacterial SSU rRNA". It matches the Rfam family "Archaeal small subunit ribosomal RNA", at positions 333 to 879 of the family's 1478-position model. The record is from RNAcentral.